Molecule: ribosomal RNA, 490 nt
Filed under: uncultured bacterium
Lineage: Bacteria
Description: partial 16S ribosomal RNA
Rfam family: Bacterial small subunit ribosomal RNA
Source: RNAcentral
AGUGAACGCUGGCGGCAGGCCUAACACAUGCAAGUCGAACGGCAGCACAAGAGAGCUUGCUCUCUGGGUGGCGAGUGGCGGACGGGUGAGGAAUGCAUCGGAAUCUGCCCAUUUGUGGGGGAUAACCUCGGGAAACCGGGACUAAUACCGCAUACGACCUACGGGUGAAAGCAGGGGAUCUUCGGACCUUGCGCAGAUGGAUGAGCCGAUGCCGGAUUAGCUAGUUGGAGGGGUAAAGGCCCACCAAGGCGACGAUCCGUAGCUGGUCUGAGAGGAUGAUCAGCCACACUGGGACUGAGACACGGCCCAGACUCCUACGGGAGGCAGCAGUGGGGAAUAUUGGACAAUGGGCGAAAGCCUGAUCCAGCCAUGCCGCGUGUGUGAAGAAGGCCUUCGGGUUGUAAAGCACUUUUGUUGGGAAAGAAAAGCAGCCGGUUAAUACCCGGUUGUCAUGACGGUACCCAAAGAAUAAGCACCGGCUAACUUCGUG